This is a long non-coding RNA of Harmonia axyridis, 2984 nucleotides long. RefSeq lists it as uncharacterized. The transcript is spliced from 5 exons. NCBI's taxonomy places the organism in Eukaryota, Metazoa, Arthropoda, Insecta, Coleoptera, Coccinellidae. The record is from RefSeq and is a predicted model, not a curated record.
AAAUUGUCGAUGUGGCAACGUGCAUUCGGGAAUUCUGUCAUUUUGUUCUGGCUUUAGAUCUCCUCAGUUGGCUAAAUCUUCAUAAUUCCUUGUUUUAUUUAUUUUGUAUUUUCAUUUAUAACCAUUAGAAGUGAUAUUAGAUAUGCCUAACAAGUGUUUUUUGUGUGGUUUCACUUAUAUUGUAGGAGGUGAAAUUAGUCUUCACAGACUUCCAUCGAAUCAACUUGAACGAGAAAAAUGGUUGCAGAGAAUUUCUUGGAACCGACCGAUGUUGGAAAAAAAAAAUUAUCUUUGCUCAAAUCACUUUCCUGAAAAUUGCUUCCGAUUAAUGAUACUAUGAAAGAGGCUUAUACCAGGAAGUUUGCCUUCUCCUUCUGAAAUCAAAUUGGAAAUACCUCUGACCUACUCAGAAGGGAAUGGAACUAUUGAAGCACAGGACUGAAUCUGAUUCUAAAACACAAGAGAGAUUUGCAGAGCCGUAUCUAGGUACAAUUGCGCCUGUGGCAAUAUGUUAGACAGCGCCCCUCAUUUUCGAUGAUUUUUUUUCACCCAUUAUAUUUUCUUAUAAUAUUUUUUUAUUCAUAAUUUGAGCCAUAUGCUUUCGUUAAAGUUUUAAAAUAAUAACCAAUAUUAUACAGGGUGUAUAUGAUAUAGUUGUGAAAAAAUUCAGGGAGAAAUUACUUGUCAAAAAAUGGGGUGGGUUUUUCAUAUAAACUUUAUUUUUUGCGCCUCCAUCUCCUUAGCUGUAGCCCCCUAAAGAUGACUAGCGAAAAGUAGUUUUCAAUUCGUGAAAAGUUUAUAAUUGUUGUUUUUUUUUUUUGUUUCAUUCAUUUUAUAUUUGUACCAUUUCUCGAUAAAAUCAUCGUUUUGACAUCCGCCUAUUGGAUUAAUUUGAGAUCGAAAAUAAUUCCAACCUCCACAACUAAGACGUAUUAUUUUUUGAUGUUUUUUUUUCGAAAACAUAAACAAUAAAAGCAAAAAAUUACAAGAGACCUCAUUCGUUAAGAAUAGAUUAGUCUAUCCAAAAUUAAUUUACUCAUUGUAAAAUAUGAAUAAAGGAAAAGUUAUCGCGAAACAAAUUUGUAGGGUGGCUUUUUCUACCCCUUGGAAUCAUAGAGAAACACCACCAAAAAUUUUUUCGAAUGCCUUCUCGCUCGCAUGAAAUGUCAGCUCAACUUUAUUUUCGUGAAUUUUUUGGUUUUCAAGAGAAAAAUGAUGUCAAAACGAUAUUUUUUUGAGAAUGUUACAAAUAUAAAAUGAAUGUAACAAAAAAACAUUUAUCAACUUUUCACAAAUUAAAAACUACUUUUUCCACUAAGCUGGAGAGAAAAAGAAGCCGCCGCACUUCAAAAAUAGAUGGUACCGUUUGUCGAAGAAAUACCGACAAGUUUGAUAAAGUGCAAAAAACUCGUUAAAAUAGGGGUAAUAACACAUGUCGAAGCUCGACCCUAAUAUUUAUGAUCUGAAUGCGGCACUUUUGAACAUACCGACGCUCAACAGAUAUAUUUAUGACUAGAUUACGGCACGCUUGAACAUAGCCAUAUUUAUAUUAUUUCUUCCCUUAAAUUAAAGUUUUGCUGAUCUUGAGAUCAUUUUGGGCAAAUUCUAUGGAAGGCUAGCAAUAUUUUAAAUGUUUCCAGAUUUCUCGCCAUCGCUCGUUGCGAGGCGUAUAUAGGUAUAACAUGAAAACCAAAUUGUGAUCUUUCGAAGCUCCAAUAUUUUUAUCUUUAGAUAUUUUUGGGCGCCCCUGUCGGCCUUGCGCCCGUGGCAAGUGCCACCUUUGCCACGCCCUAGAUACGGUACUGGAGAUUUGAGACUUCAGCUACUUUUAACUCUCCUUCAAAAUCCGCAUCUUCUAGCUAUAGUGACACUAAGAACCUACGGCUUAUCAAAGGAGGUUUGCCUUUGGAAAUUAAAUUGGAAAUACCUCUGACUUACUCAGAAGGGAAUGGAAGUAUUGAAGAACAAGGCUCCACGGAAUCUCUAUAUGAUUCUAUCAUAAAAAUAAACAAUUGAGAUUUGACACUCCAAUUACCAAUGAUCCAGAAGAAACACUGACUUUAACCUCUCCUUCAAAAUGUGCAUCAUUUAGCUCUAGUGCCACUUCUUUCUCUGGGAAACCAAGAAUAUCCAAAAUGAAGUCGAGACGGUUUUUCUCAAAUCCCCGCUUAUAUUGGAGACUAUUCACAUUGUUAUUUGGAAAACCCUAAGCUGCGAAAGAAAUACUUUAGGUUGUCUCGACGAAUCCUGUCCAAUUUCAAGGUCAAAAAUAAAAUAUUGUGUGUGUCCAUCCUGAAGUCAAACAGCACCUAGUCAAAACUACACUUAAGAAAAACCUUGGGGUAUCUUUCCAAUGCCUAUGCCUACAAUUUGUAGUUGAUAUCUAUACUCAGGCUGAGAAGACAUUUAGGUGGACAGAAAGGGUUUUUAAUAUAUUCGAUAAAAAUUAUUCGAACUUGUUAUUAUGUCUGGUUCUCACUACAGUGUUGAUCCAAAAUUGUUCAAUGUUUUCAAUCAGCAUCUGUUUGAUGAUGAACCAGAGAUAAUCCAUGGUCCUGCUAUAACGAAAAUGAUUCUUAAUGAUUCUGGAAACUAAUUUCAAUUUGAGGAUUCAUCAUAAAUUGAGAAAUCGACAGAGUGCAAAAUUAUAUUUCAAUCGGUUGAGAAGUAGAUUGAUAAAAACUAUAUUUGAAAAUCAAUAAAAUUUUCUAAUAAUGUUUGAAACCAAUAAUCUCAUUUGUACUGUAUUUCUGUGAUAAAUAUAUUUUGUUGUUUUAUUGAACCGAUAGAUUUUUUUAAUAAUAUUUGUAAACCAAUUAUUUAUAUUCUGUAUUUCUGUGAUAAAUAUAUUCUGUUGUUUUUUCUAAUGUCUUUUCUCUCUAUUGCUACAUUCAUGACCUGUUUUCAUAUGAUUUAAUAAUAUACAGUAAUAUUUUCCUUAUAUCAAAUCUAGGAAGUCUUCUGGACGCAUUAGUAAUUUUAGU